This is a long non-coding RNA of Magnolia sinica, 950 nucleotides long. RefSeq lists it as uncharacterized. The record is from RefSeq and is a predicted model, not a curated record. NCBI's taxonomy places the organism in Eukaryota, Viridiplantae, Streptophyta, Magnoliopsida, Magnoliales, Magnoliaceae. The transcript has 3 exons.
UCUCAUGACUUUUAUUAUUCGUUCCCAAUCCAAAUUGCCUGGAACUUUUGUUUAUACAUAUAUAAUACUUGGUUUUGGUUGUGGCAGUUAAUUGCAUGUAUUAGGAGAAAAGGUUUCCUCGGUUCCUUACUACCAAGCAAUUGCUAGAACUAAAGAGGAAAGGUAGCUCAUUAGUUGGAAUUUCUGAUAUAACUUGUGACAUUGGAGGUUCAAUAGAAUUUAUUAACUAGACCACUUCAUUGGAGAGGCCUUUCUUCAGGUUUGCAAAGUGAAAACUAGAUGAGUUUGUUUAUCUCAGGAAUCAACUGCAGGUUUCGCAUGCUCCUCAGUUCGAGUCUCUUUCUGAUAUGAAGAAGAAAUUGGAUGGUAGGAGAAAAGAAGUUCUAAGCUGACUAAAUUGUGAGUUUCUUCUAAGAUUAAUAUGUGCAGUCACUUGCAAAAAAUACCUCAUUGUACCUUGAAACAAGCUUUCUCUUCUUUUUGCCUUUUCUUUUAUAUCUACAAAUUACAGCUAGAAGAUCCAAAGGAUCAAAGCCUUCCAAGAAAAUGGAUUGGAGCUACCUCUAGGUCCCCUACAGUUUCAAGGCGGCAAGACAGUCAUAAAACUCCCAAAUUAGCGAUUUAGAUAUUCUAAUCACUUCUUGAUUAAAGUUUAGUAGGUUUAUUUCAUUAUUCCACUUUUGGUCUUUCUUUACCAUUAACGGUAAUCAUGGUGAGUUUAUAAACAGGUUGCUUUAUGCCCAAAUUUUAACAAACAGCCUUAUGAAUCUCUUAUUUAGAUAUUUUUUAGAUAGAUUAUAAUUUUUUUUUUGAAAUACAAUUAAUUUUAAUCUGGAAAUUAUAGCAAAUAGACCAAUAAAACCUAUAAGUAAUUUAAGAGAUUUGUGUCUUUGUGGCAAUCAGUGUUUCAAAAAUGCAGCCUGAAAAAAAAAUCAGUUCUCUUUCAAAAA